RNAcentral lists this ribosomal RNA (573 nucleotides) under Triticum aestivum (bread wheat). RNAcentral describes it as "partial small subunit ribosomal RNA". Lineage: Eukaryota; Viridiplantae; Streptophyta; Magnoliopsida; Poales; Poaceae. The record is from RNAcentral.
AUGGCGGUGAUCUGGGACGUGCGACCGGCGAUCGCCGCCGCGUUCUUCGUAGUAUACGUGGCCGUGGAGGGCGUGUACAUGAGCUCGCUGAUGAACAAAGUGGUGCUGGACGGGUGGGUCCCGUUUUCCAUCACCGCCUUCUUCCUCGUGAUCACAGUGUCUUGGACCUACGGCCGGAAGAAGAAGAGCGAGAGGCUUUCGGUCACCUCGGUGCUGCCCGGGGAGCGGUUCCUCGUUGCGGCAGAGGAGGGGGUGCCACCAGGGGUGCACAGGUCCGUGGUGCAGUACGGGUACAUGGACAAGCAGGACAUGGAAGGCGAGGAGUUCUUAGAGUCGGUGCUUGACGCGCUCAAGGAGAUCGCCCGCACGGCCGAGGAGGCCGCCAUGAUGGAUCGAGCUUGCAGGAGCAGGGUGAGCGCCGUGAUCGGGAGGACGAUCCUGACGGCGAGCGGCGGGAAUCAAAGGCACGGCUGGUUCAGGCGAUUCGUCGUCAAUCACAUGUACAGGUUCCUGCAGAAGAACAUCAACUCCGGCGUUUCAAACCUCAAGUUAGAUAAUGACAAGACGAUGUAG